AUUGAACGCUGGCGGCAUGCUUUACACAUGCAAGUCGAACGGCAGCGGGGAGGAGCUUGCUUCUCUGCCGGCGAGUGGCGCACGGGUGAGUAAUACAUCGGAACGUGUCGAGAAGAGGGGGAUAACAACCCGAAAGGGUGGCUAAUACCGCAUAAAUUCUGAGGAAGAAAGCUGGGGGCCUGGGAAUAGGCCUAGCGCUUUUUGAGCGGCCGAUGUCGGAUUAGCUAGUUGGUGAGGUAAAGGCUCACCAAGGCGAAGAUCUGUAGCGGGUCUGAGAGGAUGAUCCGCCACACUGGGACUGAGACACGGCCCAGACUCCUACGGGAGGCAGCAGUGGGGAAUUUUGGACAAAGGGGGCAACCCUGAUCCAGCCAUGCCGCGUGUAUGAAGAAGGCCUUAUGGUUGUAAAGUACUUUUGUUAGGGAAGAAAAGUCAGCUGUGAAUAAUGGCUGAUACUGACGGUACCUAAAGAAUAAGCACCGGCUAACUACGUG
RNAcentral lists this ribosomal RNA (494 nucleotides) under uncultured bacterium. RNAcentral describes it as "partial 16S ribosomal RNA". It matches the Rfam family "Bacterial small subunit ribosomal RNA", at positions 30 to 507 of the family's 1533-position model. The record is from RNAcentral.